GCGGCGGACGGGUGAGUAAUGCCUAGGAAUCUGCCCGAUAGUGGGGGACAACGUCUCGAAAGGAACGCUAAUACCGCAUACGUCCUACGGGAGAAAGCAGGGGACCUUCGGGCCUUGCGCUAUCGGAUGAGCCUAGGUCGGAUUAGCUAGUUGGUGGGGUAAAGGCUCACCAAGGCGACGAUCCGUAACUGGUCUGAGAGGAUGAUCAGUCACACUGGAACUGAGACACGGUCCAGACACCUACGGGAGGCAGCAGUGGGGAAUAUUGGACAAUGGGCGAAAGCCUGAUCCAGCCAUGCCGCGUGUGUGAAGAAGGUCUUCGGAUUGUAAAGCACUUUAAGCUGGGAGGAAGGGCAGUAAGUUAAUACCUUGCUGUUUUGACGUUACCAGCAGAAUAAGCACCGGCUAACUUCGUGCCAGCAGCCGCGGUAAUACGAAGGGUGCAAGCGUUAAUCGGAAUUACUGGGCGUAAAGCGCGCGUAGGUGGUUCAGCAAGUUGGAUGUGAAAGCCCCGGGCUCAACCUGGGAACUGCAUCCAAAACUACCGGGCUAGAGUAUGGUAGAGGGUGGUGGAAUUUCCUGUGUAGCGGUGAAAUGCGUAGAUAUAGGAAGGAACACCAGUGGCGAAGGCGACCACCUGGACUAAUACUGACACUGAGGUGCGAAAGCGUGGGGAGCAAACAGGAUUAGAUACCCUGGUAGUCCACGCCGUAAACGAUGUCAACUAGUUGUUGGGUUCCUUGAGGACUUAGUAACGAAGCUAACGCGAUAAGUUGACCGCCUGGGGGAGUACGGCCGCAAAGGUUAAAACUCAAAUUGAAAUUGACGGGGGCCC
Molecule: ribosomal RNA, 835 nt
Filed under: uncultured bacterium
Lineage: Bacteria
Description: bacterial SSU rRNA
Rfam family: Bacterial small subunit ribosomal RNA
Source: RNAcentral